Molecule: ribosomal RNA, 304 nt
Filed under: uncultured bacterium
Lineage: Bacteria
Description: partial 16S ribosomal RNA
Rfam family: Bacterial small subunit ribosomal RNA
Source: RNAcentral
CAGCAGCCGCCGCGGUAAUACGUAGGUGGCAAGCGUUGUCCGGAAUUAUUGGGCGUAAAGCGCGCGCAGGUGGUUUAAUAAGUCUGAUGUGAAAGCCCACGGCUCAACCGUGGAGGGUCAUUGGAAACUGUUAAACUUGAGUGCAGGAGAGAAAAGUGGAAUUCCUAGUGUAGCGGUGAAAUGCGUAGAGAUUAGGAGGAACACCAGUGGCGAAGGCGGCUUUUUGGCCUGUAACUGACACUGAGGCGCGAAAGCGUGGGGAGCAAACAGGAUUAGAUACCCCCGUAGUCCCUGUCUCUUAUAC